GAAGUUUUCUGUUUGGGAUACAACAUAGGGUCUGCUGCAGUUGGAUAUCAUCUCACAGUUAAAAGAAACAGGAAUUUUCUCCAGACACGAGAUAGUUGAAGAGACAAUGCUACUCACACAUCCCACUGAGGUGGUGUCUUUCAUCCGUCUACAACGAAAACAUUAAUAAGACUCACAACGCUCCUAUGAGCUGGAUGGCUCAUUGUUAACACAUCAACAGCUUCCUUCUGUCCUGUCCUUAACUAGAU
This 248-nucleotide long non-coding RNA is filed under the name Crocodylus porosus (Australian saltwater crocodile). RNAcentral's name for it is "lncRNA (ENSCPRG00005002820.1)". Lineage: Eukaryota; Metazoa; Chordata; Crocodylia; Crocodylidae. The record is from RNAcentral.